Molecule: ribosomal RNA, 301 nt
Filed under: uncultured bacterium
Lineage: Bacteria
Description: partial 16S ribosomal RNA
Rfam family: Bacterial small subunit ribosomal RNA
Source: RNAcentral
CAGCCGCCACGGUAAUACGUAGGGUGCGAGCGUUAAUCGGAAUUACUGGGCGUAAAGCGUGCGCAGGCGGUUGUGUAAGACAGGUGUGAAAUCCCCGGGCUUAACCUGGGAGCUGCGCUUGUGACUGCACAGCUAGAGUAUGGCAGAGGGGGGUGGAAUUCCACGUGUAGCAGUGAAAUGCGUAGAGAUGUGGAGGAACACCGAUGGCGAAGGCAGCCCCCUGGGCCAAUACUGACGCUCAUGCACGAAAGCGUGGGGAGCAAACAGGAUUAGAUACCCCUGUAGUCCCUGUCUCUUAUAC